CAAUCGUCCUCUUCAGUCGUUAAAGACUGGUUUCCUGGGGACAAAUUCAAUUCGAGGAGUGUUGUCUACGCACUUUUGCAACGGAGUCUCAGGAUCACCUCAUGCUCCUCUGUGAGCUCUUUCGAGGUGGAAAAUUUGAUUUUCUCUAGGCCUUAUCCUUAACAAAGGUUGUUUUAAUCUUGGGAUGAGCUACUUUAUUGGACCCAACGCUCUUCCUCUCCUUACACUUUUAAAUAAUUGCCGACUCGUAAAAGACUGGCUUCUUGGAGAUAAAUUCAAUCCGAUGAGUGUUGUCUUUGUACUUUUGCAACAGAGUCUCGAGAUCACCUCUUGCUCCUCUGUGAGCUCUUCCCAGGUGUGUAAUUUAGUUUUCUCUAGGCUUUGUCCUCGACAAAGGUUGUUUUGCUCUUGGCUUGAGCUACUUUCUUGAACCGUCGAGAGUCACUUAAAUAAUUGUCCACUCAUCAAAGACUGGCUUCUUGGGGGCAAGUGUUGUAUUUGCACUUUUGCAACGGAGUCUCGGGAUCACCUCGUGUUCCUCUGUGAGCUUUUUCAAGGUGUGGAAUUUGGUUUUCUCUAGGAUUUAUCCUCCACAAAGGUUGUUUUGCUCUUGGGUUGAGCUACUUUCUGGCAUCUGACGCUCUUCUUCUAUUGAGACACUUAAAUAAAUCUCCAAUCAUCCUCUCCAGUCGUUAAAGACUGGUUUCCUAGGGAAAAAUUCAAUCCGAUGAGUGUUGUCUAGGCACUUUUGCUACGGAGUCUCAGGAUCACAUCCUGCUCCUCUAUGAGCUUUUCUGAGGUGGAAAUUUGAUUUUCUCUAGGCCUUAUCCUCAACAAAGGUUGUUAUACUCUUGGGCUGAGCUACUUUAUUGGACCCAACGCUCUUCCUCU
Molecule: long non-coding RNA, 891 nt
Filed under: Arabidopsis lyrata
Lineage: Eukaryota; Viridiplantae; Streptophyta; Magnoliopsida; Brassicales; Brassicaceae
Description: long non-coding RNA (ALYR_LNC000827)
Source: RNAcentral